Long non-coding RNA from Chenopodium quinoa (quinoa), 1498 nucleotides. RefSeq lists it as uncharacterized. The record is from RefSeq and is a predicted model, not a curated record. Lineage: Eukaryota; Viridiplantae; Streptophyta; Magnoliopsida; Caryophyllales; Amaranthaceae. The transcript has 3 exons.
AUUAGUGUUAAUUCAUCUAGUUUACUAUUUUACGGGGUUUACUAAUAAAAUAUUACUAAGCAUAAUAUGGACCAAUUGACCUAAGUGGAUCCGGAAAUUUUGGGCAGAAGUCUAAUUUUUUUUUUUUUGAUUGAUUAAUUAAUUAACACUAGUAGAAAAAUUGAAAAAGGCACCCCCCUUUUCCCACCGGUUCUUAAAAACCGGUGGGAAAAGAUUUGGGCGGGAUUCGGAUAUUUACUUUUCGCACCGGUUCCUUUGAAACCGGUGGCAAAUGUAUGUUUUCGAACCGGUUCGAACUGGUGCUAAAUGUGUUGUUUAAAAAAAAAAAGGGUAAAUGGAUAUGCCACCGGUUCAACCCAAACCGGUGGAGAAAGUACGCAAAUUAAAAAAAAAAACCGUCAAAUACUCUUCUUCUUCAAUUCCUUCAGCACGAACAAUUUCAUUCCCCUGCUUCCCCUUCAAUUAAUCUUCUUCUCUCGUUCUCGCCUGCCCUCACCAUCUCCUUCACGCAUAGGUUGUCCUCCAUUGAAGCGCAUUCCCUGGGCUUUCUCACCUCCAUUGCCGCGCAACUCCUCUCUUUCUCUCCAUAUAUAGCUAUCUCCUCCAUUGAAGCGCAUACUGUCGAGCUUUGUGACCUCCAUUGAAGCGCAUUCUGAGCUUUCCAACUCCAUUGUAGCAGCUUCGAGCUUGUGCACUUUGUUAAUCGUGACUCACUAGGUUUAGCAAAUGACUUUCUAUCCCUCAGAUUUCUCCCUGAAGGUGUUGAUAUCCUUUUAGUUUCUAAUGCCUUACAAACAUUGUGAAAAUGCUUCUCCUGGUUUGCUUCGAUUUCGCUUCCUUAUGGUUUUUUUUUGCUGUUCUCAAUUUGGUUCUUCGUUGCGAUUGAUGAAUUGUUGGUUGAUUUUGUUGUUGUUUUAGGGUUGUCGAAUCUGGUAUGUAAUUUGAUCAGCAUCUCACUCUACCUAUCUCUUAUUUCCCUUUGGUAAAUUGGAACUUCUAUAAGCUUGAAAAGAUAAUGAAUUGUUUUGUAUAACUCUGUUUUUGGUCAAUUGCACUCUGAAAUAGAUAUACAUCAUCGGUACAUAUAUAGGGUGCCUCCAUGCCUGUAGUGUGUUCUCUUUUUCAGUGGUAAAAGACUUGUAGUAGUUGCACCCUUUACCAGCUUCCUUAAAUUGCAAAUCAGUGUCUCAUAUGUACUACUUUAUGACCUGUUUUCCUUGAUGAUUUGUGUUGCUCAACAUCUUUCCUGUUUUUUUUUUUUCCAUUCAGUUCUUCUUGCCAUUAACAAGUCCAGGGCAUUCAUAUAUGCAUACUUCGCUCUUCGUUGUCUUUCCUACAUUCUAAGUCUCCGGAGUGUAUUCUGCAUUGCUAUUGCCUAUGCGGCAGAUGUAGUUGAGGAUGACAAAAGAGUUGCAGCAUUUAGUUGGAUCACAGGUGUAAUGUUUGCUUCAUAUGUCUGGGGAGUUUGCUAGCAAAGUUUAUUCCGGGAAAGUACAUA